UUUCGGGCUUUUAUGCCACCACCUGGGACCGUGGAUCAAGUUGGAAACUGGAGGGGAGAGAGAAUGGGGACUGGCAUGCUUGAAAGGAGCCACAGACUAGACCUAAAUGUGGGCACACCACCUCCAGGACAGCAGCCCCUGUACAUUGGGCAGAUGGAUACAACCACCAGGCCGUCAGCGCCUUGAUAUAUCUGGAGAAAGAGGCUGAAAGAGAUGAUUGGUGCGCCUCAAGCAAGACAUAAAACCAGACAGACAGACUUCCCCAUUCAACCACUGCAGUUCUGGUUAAAAAUAACGACAAGGAAGUGUGAGCUACUGACUCUUCUCUCACGACUCGAGGGCUAAGUGGAGCACAGAGGAGCAGACGGGUCUUCAGAGGAAAGAUUGCUGUUGAGAACAUCUGAAGCUCACAAACAAAGGCCACCUGGCUCCUCGCAGUGGGAUGGAAAUGGGCUCUCCUCUGUGCUACACUGACAAGUGUGUGCUAAUAACCGGGUCCACACACACUCCUGAGGCCUAAUUAGUACUGCAUCUAAUGUGGUGUUAAUCAUUCACAAAUGGAGAAAAAAGCUUUAAUGUUUAUAUUUUUGGUAAUUGAGCUUGUUCUCAAUGUACAAACUGUGUUUUUUAUCCCCGGCAUCCUGCCUAGGAAAGACUGAAGUGGACAUUUGUGUAUAUUAACUGUUUGCUCAAUUAAUGCUUUUUAAAACUAUUGUGAUGAGAUUUUUAAACUGGUUUGAAACAAGUAAUUUUAAAAUGG
This is a long non-coding RNA of Cheilinus undulatus (humphead wrasse), 760 nucleotides long. RefSeq lists it as uncharacterized. Lineage: Eukaryota; Metazoa; Chordata; Actinopteri; Labriformes; Labridae. The transcript has 3 exons. The record is from RefSeq and is a predicted model, not a curated record.